ACCUUGGCCCUCACUUUCUAAUUUUUCUCACUCACGGUGUCUGUCUCUCUAAACCCUUUCUCUCACUCUCACUGUAGUCUCUCUCUGUAAACCCUAGAAAUUGGCGGUGUCUCUCUCAAAAAUUGGCGGUGUCUCUCUUUAAAAUUGGCGGUGACAGUCACGGUGAUGGUAACGACGACGUCGCUUGCUUUAAGUGCCUACACUACUCUGGUUUUCGUAGAGCCAAAAUUGACUGCUGAAAUAAGAAACCUUGUUAUGAAGGUGAUAAUGUUGAUCUUCUUCAUCAGUGAGGGUUCAAUUCUAGGUGUCGAGGUUGAGUUACCGAGCAAAUCAUACAGCACUAAGGAAAAUAAGAAGGAACCUAAAACGAUAGCCAAAAUUGAAGAUAGACGCUUUCUGAAGCCCCAUAUAUUUACCCUUACAAUCCAGAGGUAACUUGUCUUCUAUAUAAUUUGCUUUCUUAUUUCGUCUGUGAUUGUUCAUUUUGGAUUUAUGCGUAAAAAAUACACCUAUGGCAUCCCAGUUUUUGAUGUGAGGUUCCUACCUGAACUAUCACCAAAUAGUUGUUUAGGUAGGAAAAGUGACCAAUUGAUAGUUGAGGUGUGUUUCAACAAAACUUUUGGUGAUAGUUCAAGUAGGAAACUUGAAAAACCGGGAUACUUUGGGUGUGUUUUUGACCCUUCACUCUUUAUUUUACUAAUGGAAUUACCUUUUCAGAUUGAUGGGGGAACCUAUAUCUCAGUUACUUUGAGAUGGUCUCAGAAGUUAUUGUAUUGCAUUGGCCAAUUUACCUUGAGCAUACUGUAUAGUUUCCCGGAGUAUGUAACUCCAGUUGGAAAGAAGAUAACUAAGAAAGAAAAUAUAAAGUUUAAUUUUAAUUGUGGUUCAGGAUUUGAGGUUUCGUCUAAGGCUAUCAAUCACCCUCUUAAGGUGAAACUUGUCGAGUACUGGACUGAUUUGUAGUUUUGUUAGUUGAUGAAGUAACUCUUAACAGUGGUUUCGAUACUGGUAUUUUAGGAGCUAGACAAUGAAGAUGAAGAUGGAAAGUCGGGGUUGUUCUAUGACGCUAAUGUCUUUAACUGGUCGAGCAGUGAUAUUGUGAUUACUUACAAGGUAUGCCCUCCGUUAAUCAUGGUUGUUUUAACUUCCUUAAAUAGAAAAUAUAAAUUAUAAGUCGACUAGAAGUAUUUAAAGCCUAGAAGUAUUUAAAAGCCUAGUAGUAUUUAAAGCCUACGAGGUACGCCCUCCGUUUAUGUUGUGGGAGUGGGAUUAUAAGUAUUUAAAAGCCUAGAAGCAGAAGUAGUACUGUGUUGAUUUUGUUGUUUUUGAAGAUUUUGACUUUUUGUUGUUUCAUAUAAUUCACUGGUAUGCAACUCUGUUAGUAAAGAAAUGACAUAGUAACUUGAUGCUAUUUUUGUUCACAAUUACUUUGAGAUUUUUGGUGUAUGAGUACAUGCCACAAGUAGCUUUAAGUCAGCAUUUGUUUGAAUGGCAAGAACACGGCUACCCAAUUUUGACCUGGAAGCAAAGGGUAACAAUAGCGUUAGAUGUUGCAAGAGGAGUCGAGUAUCUUCACAGCUUGGCUUAGACAAGUUUUAUCCAUAGGGAUUUAAAGCCCUCUAACAUACUUCUUAGUGAUGACAUGAGGGCCAAGGUUGCUGAUUUUGGAUUGGUCAAGAAUGCUCCCGAUGGGAAAUAUUCUGUUGAGACAUGGCUGGCUGGAACAUUUGACUAUCUGGUGCCUGAAUAUGCUGCUACUGGACGAGUCACGACUAAGGUAGAUGUGUAUGCAUUCAGAGUUGUUCUAAUGGAGAUCCUAACUGGUAGAAAAGCAUUAGACGAGACCUUGCCAGAUGAGAGGUCCCAUUUGAUCUCUCGGCUUCGCAGGGUCCUAGUCAACAAAGACAACCUCCGAAAGGCUAUUGACCCAACACUCAAUCCCGACUAGGAAACAUACGAGGGAAUUUGUAAGGUCGCCGAGUUAACAGGCCAUUGCACUGCACAAGAACCAUUCCAGCACCCCCGAUAUGGGACAUGUCGUCAUUGUACUUGUCCCCUCAUAGACCUAUGGGAGCCUACGAGAAAUAAAAACGAAGACAGUGGAAUCGACCUCCAUAUAAGCCUUCCUCAAAUCCUUCAAAGAUGGCAAGCUGAUGAAGGCACUUCAAGAAUGUUCGACGACUUCUCCUACACUCAAACACAGUCAAGCAUACACGACUUCUCCUACACUCAAACACAGUCAAGCAUAACCUCAUAACCUUCCGAAUUUGCAGAUAGCUUUAACUCAACAGAUUGCAGAUGACAGAAAGAUGAUAGAAAGGCAAUGCAUAUAUGGGGGUAAUAGAUCAAGAAAGGCCCACAAAUUCAUUUGAUUUCUUCUUAACAAUGCUUUUUACUUUGUCUUCAUAUAAUUUUAUUUGGCUAGACAACAGAGUGUUUUCUAUAUGAUUUUGUUAGUAGAGAAAUUGUGUUAAAUUCUUUAUCUUACAAAGUUAAUGUAAAUAGAGAUUUGAGUUCUUAUAUGAACAUGCAAAAAAAAAGUUCAAAAUUA
Molecule: RNA transcript, 2551 nt
Organism: Capsicum annuum
Lineage: Eukaryota; Viridiplantae; Streptophyta; Magnoliopsida; Solanales; Solanaceae
Exons: 3
Source: RefSeq, a predicted model, not a curated record